This 66-nucleotide transfer RNA is filed under the name Chrysopa pallens. Its description in RNAcentral is "tRNA-Asp". The record is from RNAcentral. Lineage: Eukaryota; Metazoa; Arthropoda; Insecta; Neuroptera; Chrysopidae.
AAAAAGUUAGUUAAAUUAAUAACAUUAAUAUGUCAAAUUAAAAUUACUAAUAUUUAGUACUUUUUG